Molecule: ribosomal RNA, 253 nt
Filed under: uncultured bacterium
Lineage: Bacteria
Description: partial 16S ribosomal RNA
Rfam family: Bacterial small subunit ribosomal RNA
Source: RNAcentral
UACGUAGGGUGCAAGCGUUGUCCGGAAUUAUUGGGCGUAAAGAGCUCGUAGGCGGUCUGUCGCGUCUGCUGUGAAAACUCGGGGCUUAACCCCGGGCCUGCAGUGGGUACGGGCAGACUAGAGUGCGGUAGGGGAGACUGGAAUUCCUGGUGUAGCGGUGAAAUGCGCAGAUAUCAGGAGGAACACCGGUGGCGAAGGCGGGUCUCUGGGUAGUAACUGACGCUGAGGAACGAAAGCGUGGGUAGCGAACAGG